This 435-nucleotide ribosomal RNA is filed under the name uncultured organism. RNAcentral describes it as "bacterial SSU rRNA". It matches the Rfam family "Bacterial small subunit ribosomal RNA", at positions 480 to 917 of the family's 1533-position model. The record is from RNAcentral.
UUAUGAAUAAGGACCGGCUAAUUCCGUGCCAGCAGCCGCGGUAAUACGGAAGGUCCGGGCGUUAUCCGGAUUUAUUGGGUUUAAAGGGAGCGUAGGCCGGAGAUUAAGCGUGUUGUGAAAUGUAGAUGCUCAACAUCUGCACUGCAGCGCGAACUGGUUUCCUUGAGUACGCACAAAGUGGGCGGAAUUCGUGGUGUAGCGGUGAAAUGCUUAGAUAUCACGAAGAACUCCGAUUGCGAAGGCAGCUCACUGGAGCGCAACUGACGCUGAAGCUCGAAAGUGCGGGUAUCGAACAGGAUUAGAUACCCUGGUAGUCCGCACGGUAAACGAUGGAUGCCCGCUGUUGGUCUGAAUAGGUCAGCGGCCAAGCGAAAGCAUUAAGCAUCCCACCUGGGGAGUACGCCGGCAACGGUGCAACUCAAAUGAAUUGACGGA